Long non-coding RNA from Athalia rosae (coleseed sawfly), 289 nucleotides. RefSeq lists it as uncharacterized. Lineage: Eukaryota; Metazoa; Arthropoda; Insecta; Hymenoptera; Athaliidae. The record is from RefSeq and is a predicted model, not a curated record. The transcript has 2 exons.
GCAAAACAAAAAGAAUUAAUUAAUCAUACCUGAACCGGUACGCGAAUACAUACAUUAAUUUCCAUCUGUAUAAAUAUGUGUACGUACACAAGGUACAUAUGUGGACAUUCAACACGUGGCAUAUGAACUUGCGUCGCUUCUGAUGCCGAGAGCAGCGCAGCAUAAAUAUUAUCAUCGCUAUGUGUGUUCGCUGCGUCUAAGAAGACCGAAGAAGGAGUUAUUAAACGAUUUUACACAUGCGAUAACACGAUUAUGAUGCGGAAACUAAUGAAUCACGGAUGGAUAGAUG